This 661-nucleotide ribosomal RNA is filed under the name uncultured bacterium. RNAcentral's name for it is "bacterial SSU rRNA". It matches the Rfam family "Bacterial small subunit ribosomal RNA", at positions 34 to 744 of the family's 1533-position model. The record is from RNAcentral.
CGCUCGGCGGCAGGCUUAACACAUGCAAGUCGAACGCCCCGCAAGGGGAGUGGCAGACGGGUGAGUAACGCGUGGGAAUCUACCUAGUUCUACGGAACAACAGUUGGAAACGACUGCUAAUACCGUAUACGCCCUAAGGGGGAAAGAUUUAUCGGAAUUAGAUGAGCCCGCGUAAGAUUAGCUAGUUGGUGGGGUAAUGGCCUACCAAGGCGACGAUCUUUAGCUGGUCUGAGAGGAUGAUCAGCCACACUGGGACUGAGACACGGCCCAGACUCCUACGGGAGGCAGCAGUGGGGAAUAUUGGACAAUGGGCGCAAGCCUGAUCCAGCCAUGCCGCGUGAGUGAUGAAGGCCUUAGGGUUGUAAAGCUCUUUCAGUGGGAAAGAUAAUGACGGUACCCACAGAAGAAGCCCCGGCUAACUUCGUGCCAGCCGCGGUAAUACGAAGGGGGCUAGCGUUGUUCGGAUUUACUGGGCGUAAAGCGCACGUAGGCGGAUUGUUAAGUCAGGGGUGAAAUCCUGGAGCUCAACUCCAGAACUGCCUUUGAUACUGGCAAUCUCGAGUCCGGAAGAGGUAAGUGGAACUCCUAGUGUAGAGGUGGAAUUCGUAGAUAUUAUGAAGAACGCCAGUGGCGAAGGCGGCUUACUGGUUCCGGAACUGAC